GCGACCCCAGGUCAGACGGGACUACCCGCUGAA
This 33-nucleotide ribosomal RNA is filed under the name Festuca ulochaeta. RNAcentral's name for it is "partial 26S ribosomal RNA". Lineage: Eukaryota; Viridiplantae; Streptophyta; Magnoliopsida; Poales; Poaceae. The record is from RNAcentral.